This 1652-nucleotide long non-coding RNA is filed under the name Monodelphis domestica (gray short-tailed opossum). RNAcentral describes it as "lncRNA (ENSMODG00000044605.1)". The record is from RNAcentral. Lineage: Eukaryota; Metazoa; Chordata; Mammalia; Didelphimorphia; Didelphidae.
CCCUGGGCAAGUCAUAAUAUAGGAAGAAAGGAAGGGAGGAAGGAAGGAAGGGAGGGAGGAAGGAAGGAAGAAAGGGAGGGAGGAAGGGAGGAAGGAAGGAAGAGAGGGAGGAAGGGAGAGAGGAAGGAAGGGAGGAAGGGAGGGAGGAAGGGAGGGAGAAAGGAGAGAAGGAAGGAAGGAAGGAAGAAAGAAAGAAAGAAAGAAAGAAAGAAAGAAAGAAAGAAAGAAAGAAAGAAAGAAAGAAAGACACCAAAGGAAAGAGAAAAGAAGGAAGGAAGGAGAGAAAAAGAGGGAGGGGAGAGAGAGAGAGAGAGAGAGAGAGAGAGAGAGAGAGAGAGAGAGAGAGAGAGAGAGAGAGAGAGAGAGGACGGAAGGGUCUCAAAGGUUGUAUGUAUGUUGAUGGGAAAUGAGUUUGUAGUGUUGUCUGGACAGAGCAGAUGAGGCUGAGUAGUUACAGCUGCUUACUAUCUUCCAGUUUAGGGAAAAUAUGUUUGGAAGAUGACCUGAAGCUGAUCUUCUCUGCGCCCUUUUGAGGGCCAUCUAAUCUACCUAUAUCUUACAUGUAAUCUAGUUAUUUCCAUGUUAGCUCCCCAUUAGAAUAUGAUCUUUCCCAGGGCAGGGACUGUUUUUGUUUUUCUUUGAAACCUCUGCCCUUGGCCCAGGGUUUGGCACAAAGAAAGGGCUUAAACUGUUGACUGAUUGUCUUAUACCUUCAUCGUAAAGGGUGGGAGAGGGCAGUGGGGCAGAAAUGGGCAGAUGAUCCCACCAAUCAGCUGAAGUUCCUUCCAAGUCUAAGAUUCUAGGACUGUAUACUAAAACCCUAGAUUUUUAAGAUUCUAAAACCCUCAUAUUCUGUCUUGCAAGUCUAAGAUUCUGCUGAUCUCAUCAGGAAAAUGAAGGAGGAUGAGUUUAUUCCUUACCUAGAGUAAACUAUAAGCUCUCUUUGGAAGGAUCCAUGAAGCGCUUUUCUGCUCCCAGGCAAUGAAACAGACAUAGUGUCCCCUCCUGUUAGAAAAUGAGUUUAUGCUUCAAGGAUACUUUGGUCGGCUCGAAUCUUUUCUAUAUCCCCAGCUUCUCUGACUGACUCCACAGGCCUUUCUAGUUUGUCUGAUGGGCCCUGAUCUAAGGUCUGACAGUGCCUGGUCUGAGCAGAGUUACAGGACACACACAGGGCAGGAAAGGUGCCAAGCCACAGAGGAAAACCAAAGACAUUCCAACCUGACCCUCUCGUAAAGAUAUCUGUGCAUCAUGGUGGGGUGGGGAGAGAGACUGCUGGAACAAGACAAGAGCCUUAGACAGGUCUAUGACAAAAUCUGGCAGUAAGUGGAGCAGACAGAACACCCCUGAACAGUGGAAUGCUCUCUGGAGUCCAAGGACCUGGGUUCUCUUCCCACCGCCGAUGGCACUGCCUUUGUGACCUUGGACAAAUUAUUGGAUCUCCCUUAGAGGCAGCUGAGGGUGCAAUGGAUAGAGCACUGAGGAAGGAGUUUCAAAAACCUGUUUUCAAAUCCAGCCUCACCCUUACUAUCUUUGGGACCCUGAGCAAGUGACUUAACUGCUGCCUGCUUCAGUUUCCUCAGUUGUAUAAUAGAGUCCGUAACACCUCCUAGGGUUGUUGCAAGGAAUAAAUAGGAUCAUAUCUGUAAAGGGCA